RNAcentral lists this ribosomal RNA (248 nucleotides) under uncultured bacterium. RNAcentral describes it as "partial 16S ribosomal RNA". It matches the Rfam family "Bacterial small subunit ribosomal RNA", at positions 57 to 305 of the family's 1533-position model. The record is from RNAcentral.
GCAAGUCGAGCGGUAGAUUGAUUAAAGAAGCUUCGGUGGAAUUAAUUGAUUGAGAGCGGCGAACGGGUGAGUAACACGUUGGUAUCUGCCCCCAAGUCAGGGAUAGCCAUUGGAAACGAUGAUUAAUACCGGAUAGUCUCUUCGGAGUAAAAAUUUAUUGCUUGGGGAGGAGCCUGCGGUCUAUCAGCUAGUUGGUGAGGUAAUAGCUCACCAAGGCUAUGACGGAUAACUGGUCUGAGAGGAUGACC